ACCAUUGGUUUCCCAUUUCAUAUCAAAUUUAUCAUAAAGACAAAUAAAUAUUUCCUGUGUAAAUAUGUUGGGUCUUAAAACAAAGUGUAAAUGCAAGCAGUCGUACAGUUAUGCACAGUUGAAUUGAAAAAGAUGGAGCUGUGGAAGAACAACUUGUUGCUAAGGCCAGUUGCAAAACUUGGCAAGCUUCCAGGUCCUUACAUCCUCACCUCGGCUCCCAAAACUCGAUACAUGGGCUUGCUGCUCAGUGCUACUUUGUUGUGUGCUUGUGAUGCUUUGCUCAGUAGUCUUGAAAUUUCUGCCCUUCUUUUCCGGCCUUGGAAGAGUAUCAUCCUUCCUGCAUCUCACUAGAGCCUCCAACAAUAACAGCAACGAAGCCAUCUCCAAGUACUUGAAAUUACUAGCUCUUCACAGAAACACGACUUGUAUAUAUAUACCCACAUGAAUUAAUUUAUAUAUUACAAAACAGUAAGUAGCUUGUUCAUGCCAAUUGUGAAGAUGAUUAAUAUAUAAAUUUGGCAUCAGAAACAGCAAAGACGUGAAAUCUCUCCAUGCAAUUCGUGCCAUUUAAGUUUUUUCGAGUGAGUAGUUGGUCAUCUAAUAUCCUUCCUUACUCACUGCGGUCAAGAAGCGGUGGGCAACCUCAAGAUUUUCAUUUCCUUGCUUCAUUGGUACAAGAAAUCUUUGUGCUUUUUUCCAG
Molecule: long non-coding RNA, 700 nt
Filed under: Manihot esculenta (cassava)
Lineage: Eukaryota; Viridiplantae; Streptophyta; Magnoliopsida; Malpighiales; Euphorbiaceae
Description: long non-coding RNA (MESC_LNC002601)
Source: RNAcentral